UUGCUCCGUUUGUUUGAGUACGGGGGCUUCCCACCAGAGAGCAACUACAUCUUCCUCGGUGAUUACGUUGACCGCGGCAAGCAG
RNAcentral lists this ribosomal RNA (84 nucleotides) under Amphidinium massartii. RNAcentral describes it as "partial 5.8S ribosomal RNA". The record is from RNAcentral. Lineage: Eukaryota; Dinophyceae; Amphidiniales; Amphidiniaceae.